This 292-nucleotide ribosomal RNA is filed under the name uncultured bacterium. RNAcentral describes it as "partial 16S ribosomal RNA". It matches the Rfam family "Bacterial small subunit ribosomal RNA", at positions 335 to 646 of the family's 1533-position model. The record is from RNAcentral.
ACUCCUACGGGAGGCAGCAGUGGGGAAUCUUAGACAAUGGGCGCAAGCCUGAUCUAGCCAUGCCGCGUGAUCGAUGAAGGCCUUAGGGUUGUAAAGUCUUUCAGAUGGGAAGAUAAUGACGGUACCAUCAGAAGAAGCCCCGGCUAACUCCGUGCCAGCAGCCGCGGUAAUACGGAGGGGCUAGCGUUAUUCGGAAUUACUGGGCGUAAAGCGCACGUAGGCGGAUCAGAAAGUCAGAGGUGAAAUCCCAGGGCUCAACCUUGGAACUGCCUUUGAAACUCCUGGUCUUGAG